Molecule: ribosomal RNA, 253 nt
Filed under: uncultured bacterium
Lineage: Bacteria
Description: partial 16S ribosomal RNA
Rfam family: Bacterial small subunit ribosomal RNA
Source: RNAcentral
UACAGAGGGUGCGAGCGUUAAUCGGAAUUACUGGGCGUAAAGCGCGCGUAGGCGGCUUUGCAAGUUGGGUGUGAAAUCCCCAGGCUUAACCUGGGAACUGCAUUCGAGACUGCAUUGCUAGAGUAUGGGAGAGGGAAGUGGAAUUUCCGGUGUAGCGGUGAAAUGCGUAGAUAUCGCUUGGAACGCCAAAGGUGAAAACAGGUAGCUGGGGGUGUGCUGACACUGAGACACGAAAGCCAGGGGAGCAAACGGG